AACGAGGAGCAACAAGCGGACGGGUGAGUAAUGACUGGGAAACUGCCCGAUGGAGGGGGAUAACUACUGGAAACGGUAGCUAAUACCGCAUAACGUCUUCGGACCAAAGUGGGGGACCUUCGGGCCUCACACCAUCGGAUGUGCCCAGAUGGGAUUAGCUAGUAGGUGGGGUAAUGGCUCACCUAGGCGACCAUCCCUAGCUGGUCUGAGAGGAUGACCAGCCACACUGGAACUGA
This 236-nucleotide ribosomal RNA is filed under the name bacterium PM-48. RNAcentral's name for it is "partial 16S ribosomal RNA". It matches the Rfam family "Bacterial small subunit ribosomal RNA", at positions 83 to 322 of the family's 1533-position model. The record is from RNAcentral.